This 484-nucleotide ribosomal RNA is filed under the name uncultured bacterium. RNAcentral describes it as "partial 16S ribosomal RNA". It matches the Rfam family "Bacterial small subunit ribosomal RNA", at positions 30 to 507 of the family's 1533-position model. The record is from RNAcentral.
AUUGAACGCUGGCGGAAUGCCUUACACAUGCAAGUCGAACGGCAGCACGGGGGCAGCCCUGGUGGCGAGUGGCGAACGGGUGAGUAAUACAUCGGAACGUGCCCGGUCGUGGGGGAUAACGUAGCGAAAGUUACGCUAAUACCGCAUACGAUCUGAGGAUGAAAGCGGGGGACCUUCGGGCCUCGCGCGAUCGGAGCGGCCGAUGUCAGAUUAGGUAGUUGGUGGGGUAAAGGCCUACCAAGCCGACGAUCUGUAGCUGGUCUGAGAGGACGACCAGCCACACUGGGACUGAGACACGGCCCAGACUCCUACGGGAGGCAGCAGUGGGGAAUUUUGGACAAUGGGCGCAAGCCUGAUCCAGCCAUUCCGCGUGCAGGACGAAGGCCUUCGGGUUGUAAACUGCUUUUGUACGGAACGAAAAGGCUCUGGCUAAUACCUGGGGCUCAUGACGGUACCGUAAGAAUAAGCACCGGCUAACUACGUG